RNAcentral lists this ribosomal RNA (253 nucleotides) under uncultured bacterium. Its description in RNAcentral is "partial 16S ribosomal RNA". It matches the Rfam family "Bacterial small subunit ribosomal RNA", at positions 524 to 776 of the family's 1533-position model. The record is from RNAcentral.
UACGGGGGGGGCAAGCGUUGUUCGGAAUUACUGGGCGUAAAGGGCUCGUAGGCGGCCAACUAAGUCAGACGUGAAAUCCCUCGGCUUAACCGGGGAACUGCAUCUGAUACUGGAUGGCUUGAGUUUGGGAGAGGGAUGCGGAAUUCCAGGUGUAGCGGUGAAAUGCGUAGAUAUCUGGAGGAACACCGGUGGCGAAGGCGGCAUCCUGGACCAACACUGACGCUGAGGAGCGAAAGCGUGGGGAGCAAACAGG